This 484-nucleotide ribosomal RNA is filed under the name uncultured bacterium. RNAcentral's name for it is "partial 16S ribosomal RNA". It matches the Rfam family "Bacterial small subunit ribosomal RNA", at positions 30 to 507 of the family's 1533-position model. The record is from RNAcentral.
AUUGAACGCUGGCGGAAUGCUUUACACAUGCAAGUCGAACGAUGAACCUUAGCUUGCUAAGGGGAUUAGUGGCGAACGGGUGAGUAAUAUGUCGGAACGUGCCUUGUAAUGGGGGAUAACUAGUCGAAAGAUUAGCUAAUACCGCAUACGCCCUGAGGGGGAAAGUAGGGGAUCUUCGGACCUUACGUUAUAAGAGCGGCCGAUAUCUGAUUAGCUAGUUGGUGGGGUAAUGGCCUACCAAGGCGACGAUCAGUAGCUGGUCUGAGAGGACGACAGGCGACACUGGAACUGGAACACGGGCCAGACUCCGACGGGAGGCAGCAGUGGGGAAUUUUGGACAAUGGGCGCAAGCCUGAUCCAGCAAUGCCGGGUGAGUGAAGAAGGCCUUCGGGUGUUAAAGCUGUUGCGCAAGGGAAGAAAACUUACCAUCGAAGAAAUGGAGAGGCUGACGGUACCUUGAUAAGAAGCACCGGCUAACUACGUG